UACGUAGGGGGCAAGCGUUAUCCGGAUUUACUGGGUGUAAAGGGAGCGUAGACGGUUACGCAAGUCUGGAGUGAAACGUAUGAGCUCAACUCAUGCAUGGCUCUGGAAACUGGAGGACUGGAGAGCAGGAGAGGGCGGUGGAACUCCAUGUGUAGCGGUAAAAUGCGUAGAUAUAUGGAAGAACACCAGUGGCGAAGGCGGCCGCCUGGCCUGUUGCUGACGCUGAGGCACGAAAGCGUGGGGAGCAAAUAGG
RNAcentral lists this ribosomal RNA (253 nucleotides) under uncultured Allobaculum sp. RNAcentral describes it as "partial 16S ribosomal RNA". It matches the Rfam family "Bacterial small subunit ribosomal RNA", at positions 524 to 776 of the family's 1533-position model. The record is from RNAcentral. Lineage: Bacteria; Bacillati; Bacillota; Erysipelotrichia; Erysipelotrichales; Erysipelotrichaceae.